Molecule: long non-coding RNA, 1683 nt
Organism: Lycium ferocissimum
Lineage: Eukaryota; Viridiplantae; Streptophyta; Magnoliopsida; Solanales; Solanaceae
Exons: 3
Source: RefSeq, a predicted model, not a curated record
CUGGCUUCAAUUCCUUUUCUUAGCAAUCCCACAAGACUUUAACUUCACGCUACUGAUCUCCAUUGUUCUCUCGCCUUCUCCAUUCCUCAUUCUCAACUCAUUGUUUGAUUAUAUUCUGGUGGAAUCUUCAUGUUGCUGGUAGCUUUUGUAUAUGCAUGUGGUUAUUCUUUCAGAAUAUUCAAUGCAAGCAUUCUGAAUUAUCAUUAGGAAAAAACUGAUAUUGACAAGUGAAGAACUUUGUUGCAGCAAAGGUACUUGUCACAUGGAAAAGGGAUCUUGGAACCUCAAGCUUUUGGUUGAAUUGGAAGCCAAAAUGUCAAAAAGAAACUACAUGAUGAUGAUUUUCCUGAAAUCCACUCAGGUAAUUGGGUUUUGUGUUUCUUAAAAGCCUAUGUGUGGGGAUACUACUAUGAUUUGUUAUACUAGGAAGCGAUUGUUCUCUACCCCCGCGUUGCACUUGCCAUUUGUAGCCUGUGUCGGGCAAUAUGUUUGUAUGUGAAGAUUUUACAGUUGAUUUUUCAGCAUCCUUGCAUCAAUUCAUAGUCUAACUAUUACAGAAACAGGACAUUUUAGCUAUAUAUGUCAUUCUAACCAAAAAUUAGUUUAUUGGGUUUUCUUCUAUUUAGUGUAUGAAAUAUGUAGCAACUAAAUCAAAUUUUGUGCGAAGAACAUAUUGAUGUAGGAGAGGACCCUAAAUGCUUUUAUGGUUUAGCACCAGUUCAUAAGAUAUUAAUUCUCAAGGUAAUUUUCGUCCCUUCACUGCUUGCAAGGUUGGCUGAUAUUUCCAAAGCACUUCUAUGAUUAAUAGAAGAAAUAAUUUGUUGCAGGGAAUGAAUUCUGAAUUUGAUGCUCUUGUCCAAAAUAAAACUUGGACUUUGGUGCCGCCUCCUCCAAAUGCAAAUAUUGUUGGCAACAAAUGGGUGUUUCAGAUUAAGUUUUGUGCAAAUGGUUCUGUUGAAAGAUAUAAAGCUCGUUUAGCGGAUCAAGGUUUUUCGCAGCAGCCGAGGGUUGACUAUUUUGAGACUUUUGCAUAUUCAUUCAGAAGAAAGAUGCUUUACUAAUUGGAUAUGCGACUCAGCAUGUGAAAUACACAUUAUUGUCAUUUUGCUCUAAUCAGGCUAUAUGUUUACAGUUGGAGAUUUCCACAGGGACCAAAACUAGUCUUUACUGGAAAAUUCCAUUUAUAUUGGGUCUAUUGCACUGAUUUGUUCAUUGUUGGGAUAGGUACUUCAGUGUCAAUUCACUUCUACUUUUCUCUUUGUCCGAGGAAAUUCAAUUUUUGUUUUAUGCAUCAUUAUUUGUUAUUUGGCUUAGAAGAGUGAAUCUAAUGCUAUAUUUUGUGCUUUUAUAGCUGAACAACUUGUGACAAGAUAAUUACUCUUAUACUAUCAUGACUUCUUUGGUGAGGCUGCUGAAUAUGAUGAAUCUGAAGAUUUGGAAGAUGUUAUCAAAGAAGAUGGAGAUGAGGAUGAAGACAAGUGGUGAUGGAAAGGUAAGAUUUGUUCUGCUUGCUUUUACAAAGUCAUUUACAAAUUUCCACUUAUCUAAGCGGAGAUGUUUCAGCGAAAGAGGGUUCUUGGAUUUCACACUCUAUUAUCAAGGUAAAAAUUAAUAUGUUGUCUAAAUUCGGGAUGUAAGAGGUGCUAAUUAUCAAUAAAGUAUUAAAGUACGAUUAACAAUAUA